This 497-nucleotide ribosomal RNA is filed under the name uncultured bacterium. RNAcentral describes it as "partial 16S ribosomal RNA". It matches the Rfam family "Bacterial small subunit ribosomal RNA", at positions 28 to 507 of the family's 1533-position model. The record is from RNAcentral.
GAUGAACGCUGGCGGCGUGCCUAAUACAUGCAAGUCGAGCGAACGGACGAGAAGCUUGCUUCUCUGAUGUUAGCGGCGGACGGGUGAGUAACACGUGGAUAACCUACCUAUAAGACUGGGAUAACUUCGGGAAACCGGGGCUAAUACCGGAUAAUAUUUUGAACCGCAUGGUUCAAAAGUGAAAGACGGUCUUGCUGUCACUUAUAGAUGGAUCCGCGCUGCAUUAGCUAGUUGGUAAGGUAACGGCUUACCAAGGCAACGAUGCAUAGCAGACCUGAGAGGGUGAUCGGCCACACUGGAACUGAGACACGGUCCAGACUCCUACGGGAGGCAGCAGUAGGGAAUCUUCCGCAAUGGGCGAAAGCCUGACGGAGCAACGCCGCGUGAGUGAUGAAGGUCUUCGGAUCGUAAAACUCUGUUAUUAGGGAAGAACAUAUGUGUAAGUAACUGUGCACAUCUUGACGGUACCUAAUCAGAAAGCCACGGCUAACUACGUG